Molecule: microRNA precursor, 100 nt
Filed under: Drosophila guanche
Lineage: Eukaryota; Metazoa; Arthropoda; Insecta; Diptera; Drosophilidae
Source: RNAcentral
CAGCGCCGAUGAUGAUGAUGAUUAUGAUGAAGGCGACACUCGACUGCAUUUGCACUUAAGUGUGCAGUUCUUAGCAUCAUCAUCAUCAUCAUCAUCUUUU